Cebus imitator (Panamanian white-faced capuchin) is the source of this 133-nucleotide small nucleolar RNA. Its record names the gene SNORA70. It matches the Rfam family "Small nucleolar RNA SNORA70". Rfam says of the family: snoRNA U70 seems to be exclusive to mammals and is a member of the H/ACA class of snoRNA which contain H (ANANNA) and ACA box motifs. H/ACA box snoRNAs are involved in the conversion of uridines to pseudouridines (5-ribosyluracil) a constituent of structural RNAs (transfer, ribosomal, small nuclear, and small nucleolar). The record is from Ensembl. NCBI's taxonomy places the organism in Eukaryota, Metazoa, Chordata, Mammalia, Primates, Cebidae.
CUGCAGCCAAUUAAGCUGUUGGAGUUCCUUUCCUCAUGGGGGCCUGGUGUGCAAUGGCUGUGAACAGCUGCUUCUUUGGUAGUGUUUGCAGCCUGUUAUUGUAUGAGUGGCUCUAAGGGACCUGGAGACAGGC